AAAUGUCUCAAUCGUAUAAAAUUUCUUUUUCUAAAUCCAUAAAUUUCAUCAAUAAAUACCAAGAUGGUGUUAGAAAUAUGUACAAUGUUAGCAUAUGUUUAACCACCUUCAACUAUCAAAUCGGAUGGGGCGUACCCACAUGGUGUGAAGGGGCUUCGUUGAAAAAUUAUAUUUUGUAGAAUAGUAAAUCAUAUAAUUAAAACAAAGACAAUACAUAUAGA
Molecule: unclassified non-coding RNA, 221 nt
Filed under: Hevea brasiliensis (rubber tree)
Lineage: Eukaryota; Viridiplantae; Streptophyta; Magnoliopsida; Malpighiales; Euphorbiaceae
Source: RNAcentral